RNAcentral lists this ribosomal RNA (486 nucleotides) under uncultured bacterium. Its description in RNAcentral is "partial 16S ribosomal RNA". It matches the Rfam family "Bacterial small subunit ribosomal RNA", at positions 30 to 507 of the family's 1533-position model. The record is from RNAcentral.
AUUGAACGCUGGCGGCAUGCCUUACACAUGCAAGUCGAACGGCAGCACGGGUGCUUGCACCUGGUGGCGAGUGGCGAACGGGUGAGUAAUACAUCGGAACAUGUCCUGUAGUGGGGGAUAGCCCGGCGAAAGCCGGAUUAAUACCGCAUACGAUCCACGGAUGAAAGCGGGGGACCUUCGGGCCUCGCGCUAUAGGGUUGGCCGAUGGCUGAUUAGCUAGUUGGUGGGGUAAAGGCCUACCAAGGCGACGAUCAGUAGCUGGUCUGAGAGGACGACCAGCCACACUGGGACUGAGCCACGGCCCAGACUCCUACGGGAGGCAGCAGUGGGGAAUUUUGGACAAUGGGCGAAAGCCUGAUCCAGCAAUGCCGCGUGUGUGAAGAAGGCCUUCGGGUUGUAAAGCACUUUUGUCCGGAAAGAAAUCCUUGACUCUAAUACAGUCGGGGGAUGACGGUACCGGAAGAAUAAGCACCGGCUAACUACGUG